Molecule: non-coding RNA, 46 nt
Organism: Apis mellifera (honey bee)
Lineage: Eukaryota; Metazoa; Arthropoda; Insecta; Hymenoptera; Apidae
Source: Rfam
AAAACGGCCCUUCUCAGGGCCACAAUUUUCUUUCAACUUGAGAACA